GGGAAGAAGAAAGCCAAAGAAGCUGCUAUUGAAGAGCUGCAGCAAUGGGGAGCGCCGCAGGUGGAACAGGAACUGCACCAGAAAGGAAGUGCACUUCUGACCUGGGGA
Long non-coding RNA from Pogoniulus pusillus (Red-fronted tinkerbird), 108 nucleotides. RefSeq lists it as uncharacterized. The transcript has 3 exons. The record is from RefSeq and is a predicted model, not a curated record. NCBI's taxonomy places the organism in Eukaryota, Metazoa, Chordata, Aves, Piciformes, Lybiidae.